CGUGCGAGACCUUCGGGUCUAGCGGCGGACGGGUUAGUAACGCGUGGGAACGUGCCCUUCUCUAUGGAAUAGCCUCGGGAAACUGAGAGUAAUACCGUAUACGCCCUUCGGGGGAAAGAUUUAUCGGAGAAGGAUCGGCCCGCGUCUGAUUAGAUAGUUGGUGGGGUAAUGGCCUACCAAGUCUACGAUCAGUAGCUGGUUUUAGAGGAUGAUCAGCAACACUGGGACUGAGACACGGCCCAGACUCCUACGGGAGGCAGCAGUGGGGAAUCUUAGACAAUGGGCGAAAGCCUGAUCUAGCCAUGCCGCGUGUGUGAUGAAGGCCUUAGGGUCGUAAAGCACUUUCGCUGGGGAAGAUAAUGACUGUACCCAGUAAAGAAACCCCGGCUAACUCCGUGCCAGCAGCCGCGGUAAUACGGAGGGGGUUAGCGUUGUUCGGAAUUACUGGGCGUAAAGCGCGCGUAGGCGGAUUAGAAAGUUGGGGGUGAAAUCCCGGGGCUCAACCUCGGAACUGCCUCCAAAACUACUAGUCUAGAGUUCGAGAGAGGUGAGUGGAAUUCCGAGUGUAGAGGUGAAAUUCGUAGAUAUUCGGAGGAACACCAGUGGCGAAGGCGGC
This 616-nucleotide ribosomal RNA is filed under the name Thalassococcus profundi. RNAcentral describes it as "bacterial SSU rRNA". It matches the Rfam family "Bacterial small subunit ribosomal RNA", at positions 63 to 725 of the family's 1533-position model. Lineage: Bacteria; Pseudomonadati; Pseudomonadota; Alphaproteobacteria; Rhodobacterales; Roseobacteraceae. The record is from RNAcentral.